This is a long non-coding RNA of Pipra filicauda (Wire-tailed manakin), 460 nucleotides long. RefSeq lists it as uncharacterized. The record is from RefSeq and is a predicted model, not a curated record. Lineage: Eukaryota; Metazoa; Chordata; Aves; Passeriformes; Pipridae. The transcript is spliced from 2 exons.
AAAAGCCAAGCUUAUCCGAGUCUUGGCCCGGAGCCCGGGACCCCAAGAGGCUUCAGUGGGAUCCCGGCCCUGUGCUGGAGGCACAGAACAAACACCGCCUUGUAGCCGAGACCCUCUCUUGGAGCUGGUGGUCUCUGCAGACAGGACAUGACACAGAAGAAAGGAAGCAUUAUCAGCUGGGCUUCAAGAUUGGAAAACUAAGGAAAGGAGAGAGAAAGUUUGUUUUAGGAAUCUUCACCACCACAUGUGGGGCAAAGUCUUCCAUGGCAGUGUUCCCAUGUUCUUCCAUGGGCCCAGGAUUCCAUCCGUGGCUUUUGAAGAGCAGCACCCAACACCUUGAGCUGCAUUCAAGUGUAAAGAAGGAGCAGAUCUUUUAUAGACCAUAAACACAACAGCUCUUAUGGCCAACCUGACCAAUUAAAUGGUCUCAGCAAUUCCUACGUUUUGCUAAUGACCUUAA